CAAUAGCGUAUACUAACGUUGUUGCAGUUAAAAAGCUCGUAGUUGGAUUUGUGGCGGCAGUUGCGGUCCGUACUUUUUCGGUACUGUCGACUGCUGCCAUCCUUGGGUGGAUGGUGUGUGGCAUUAGGUUGUCGUGCAGUGGAUGCCCAUCGUUUACUGUGAGAAAAUUAGAGUGUUCAAAGCAGGUAAGCAUAAUCCAACCUCUCAGUGGUUUUCUUGUCCCCUUUUUUCUUGGAUCUCUUUCUCAACAACUUGUUUGUUUCUUCUCUUGCAGGCUUAAGCCGUUGAAUAUAUUAGCAUGGAAUAAUGAGAUAGGACCCUGGUACUAUUUUGUUGGUUUGCGUGCCAAGGUAAUGAUUAAUAGGGACAGUUGGGGGUAUUCGUAUUCCAUUGUCAGAGGUGAAAUUCUUGGAUUUCUGGAAGACGAACUACUGCGAAAGCAUUUACCAAGGAUGUUUUCAUUAA
This 465-nucleotide ribosomal RNA is filed under the name uncultured eukaryote. Its description in RNAcentral is "partial 18S ribosomal RNA". It matches the Rfam family "Eukaryotic small subunit ribosomal RNA", at positions 592 to 976 of the family's 1831-position model. The record is from RNAcentral.